RNAcentral lists this long non-coding RNA (1019 nucleotides) under Marmota monax (woodchuck). The record is from RNAcentral. Lineage: Eukaryota; Metazoa; Chordata; Mammalia; Rodentia; Sciuridae.
CUAGUGAUGGUAAUUGUGGUUGUUGAUGUUUUCUUCUUGGGCAAGGGCCUAUGAGUUCCCAGCUCUGGCUUUUCUGUCUUCUGGAAGAGGACAGGGCAGGAACCCAAGAGGCCUAGGAACCCAAGAGGCCUAGCCCUUGCCUUGGUUUCUGUGUCAGACUGUACAGGAAGAAUGGAUUGGUUAUAACCAGACUUAGGGCAAUGGAACCCAAACCAUUGAUUUCCUAAGUCAUUAGCAACUCCUCCAGGAGAAAGGAGCCCCCAGCCCAGGCAUGGUUGGUAACUUUUCUCUUACCUGAGCAAUGAUGGGACUCAUGGAGCCCACACAGUUCCAUCCUAUUCCUAGCUGUCAGGCAUUCCCAUCAAAACCUCCAAUUCCUUCAUGCCCCUGGCCCAUUCUCUUUGUCACUCUCCUGUAACUUCUCAGACUUUCAGGGUUUCCAGGAUCUCUUCCCAUCCUAAAAAUCUUGGAUUCUGCCAUCUUAAAGGAACCCAUACUGGAUCUUUCAGCUUACAAUAAUCUCUCUCAUUCUUUGCUUCCAAGCUUGUCUAGGGAGAAAAGUCUAGCUUUAUAACUUCUCAUUCUGCAACCCAAACACCCUUAUCCCAGGCGCAUGGCUGUCCUAGGCCUGCCAGGGAUAUUGAGGGUGACAUUGUGCCAGGAACUAUGCCAAGUGCUUCCUAAGCACUCUCAUUCCACCAUCACAACACCUCUGAGACUGGUAUUAGUUCUUUCUCACUUUAUGGAUGAGAACACUCAGUCUCGGAGAAGUCAAGUCACACAUCCCAGGGCAGAGCCCAGCCCCCUCUGCCGCUUAAAUCUGUGCUCUUAGCCACCAUUCUACCAUGGAAAUAUCCCACCCGAGCUUCUGAGGAGCCAGAUGCUAAGCCUGAAUAGAGGAAGUGAGAGUAGCUUAAGCAAACUGAACCCAAGAAAAAAAAUGCCCCUAUUCGCUGGGCACACCUAUAAUCCCAGAGACUCAGGAGUCUGAAGCAGGGGUAUGGCAAGUUGGAAACCAG